UUGAACGCUGGCGGCAGGCUUAACACAUGCAAGUCGAGCGGUAGCACAGGGGAGCUUGCUCCCUGGGUGACGAGCGGCGGACGGGUGAGUAAUGUCUGGGAAACUGCCUGAUGGAGGGGGAUAACUACUGGAAACGGUAGCUAAUACCGCAUAACGUCGCAAGACCAAAGAGGGGGACCUUCGGGCCUCUUGCCAUCAGAUGUGCCCAGAUGGGAUUAGCUAGUAGGUGGGGUAAUGGCUCACCUAGGCGACGAUCCCUAGCUGGUCUGAGAGGAUGACCAGCCACACUGGAACUGAGACACGGUCCAGACUCCUACGGGAGGCAGCAGUGGGGAAUAUUGCACAAUGGGCGCAAGCCUGAUGCAGCCAUGCCGCGUGUGUGAAGAAGGCCUUCGGGUUGUAAAGCACUUUCAGCGAGGAGGAAGGUGGUGAACUUAAUACGUUCAUCAAUUGACGUUACUCGCAGAAGAAGCACCGGCUAACUCCGUG
This 489-nucleotide ribosomal RNA is filed under the name uncultured bacterium. RNAcentral's name for it is "partial 16S ribosomal RNA". It matches the Rfam family "Bacterial small subunit ribosomal RNA", at positions 30 to 507 of the family's 1533-position model. The record is from RNAcentral.